Molecule: small nuclear RNA, 145 nt
Filed under: Haemaphysalis longicornis (longhorned tick)
Lineage: Eukaryota; Metazoa; Arthropoda; Arachnida; Ixodida; Ixodidae
Description: U1 spliceosomal RNA
Rfam family: U1 spliceosomal RNA
About the family: U1 is a small nuclear RNA (snRNA) component of the spliceosome (involved in pre-mRNA splicing). Its 5' end forms complementary base pairs with the 5' splice junction, thus defining the 5' donor site of an intron.
Source: Rfam by way of RNAcentral
AUACGUACCUGGUGUCGGGUGCACGCUGAUCAAUGAGGGCGUACCCCGAGAUGAGGCCUCGUGCUGACUCUCGCCAUUCUCCCGAAUUGGGUGAUUGGGGCACGAAAUUUUUGGUAGUGGGGGGAGAGCCUGCUGCUCUCCCCCU